Molecule: transfer RNA, 108 nt
Filed under: Leucosporidium creatinivorum
Lineage: Eukaryota; Fungi; Basidiomycota; Microbotryomycetes; Leucosporidiales; Leucosporidiaceae
Description: Leucosporidiella creatinivora tRNA
Rfam family: tRNA
About the family: Transfer RNA (tRNA) molecules are approximately 80 nucleotides in length. Their secondary structure includes four short double-helical elements and three loops (D, anti-codon, and T loops). Further hydrogen bonds mediate the characteristic L-shaped molecular structure. tRNAs have two regions of fundamental functional importance: the anti-codon, which is responsible for specific mRNA codon recognition, and the 3' end, to which the tRNAs corresponding amino acid is attached (by aminoacyl-tRNA synthetases). tRNAs cope with the degeneracy of the genetic code in two manners: having more than one tRNA (with a specific anti-codon) for a particular amino acid; and 'wobble' base-pairing, i.e. permitting non-standard base-pairing at the 3rd anti-codon position.
Source: Rfam by way of RNAcentral
GGCGUUGUAGCAAAGUGGUUACUGCGUUAGCCUCGAAUUUAGUGCAUAAGCGCCCCCAAGUUCAGCUAAUCCUCUUUGAGGGCGUAGGUUCGAAUCCUGCCAACGUCG